GUUAAAAAGGAGCACCUGACAUAUGAGGAAGACAAUCACAGCGAAAGCCCACGUGGAAGGAAUCCAAUUCCUGUGGUUUGCUGUCGGUUCCUGAUUCAGGGUUGUCUCUAAAGUCCAUGCCUAGCUUCAAAGGAAAAAAAUCCAAGGAAUGCAGCAAUUCCACUGAAGAUAAAUGUGGUGGAGAAGAGGCAUUUAUGGGGAAGUCAUGCUGGCAGAUGGGAGCUGUACUUGAGUGCCAUAUGCAGGUUUUGGCUGCCCAUAUGUAACCUCAUGCUGUAUGUGAAGAAGCAUAAUUACCUGAUGGGGCUAGAAGUCGAAUCUGGGUCCCUUGCCAUCACGGUACCAAUGAUUGUGCCCACUUCAAUAUCCUCGUGAACCUCGAACAGAUAGGAGGAUCUGCUGAAAACGGGAGGCUCGUCCACAUCUUCGAUAGAGAUUUUCACAAUUGUCGUGUCUUUAAAUGGUCCUAGGUAAUAAAAGCGCGGAUCCACGUGGGUAUUUUCUGCUUCUACCUUCAGAGUGUAAAGCCUUCGGCUUUCGUAGUCAAGUGGCUGUAUUAAAAAUAAGUAAGUAAAUAAAUCAUCAAAUUAGAUUGGAUUAGAGGGUCCUUCCAAGUUACAGUAUGAUUUUUAAAGCCUAGCUGAGUUCUGUCAAGUUGUUCAUUAACUGUAAAUCACUAAAAGUAAUAAAAAUACAUAAUCUUUA
Long non-coding RNA from Camelus dromedarius (Arabian camel), 705 nucleotides. RefSeq lists it as uncharacterized. The record is from RefSeq and is a predicted model, not a curated record. Lineage: Eukaryota; Metazoa; Chordata; Mammalia; Artiodactyla; Camelidae. The transcript is spliced from 4 exons.